This is a long non-coding RNA of Cavia porcellus (domestic guinea pig), 2167 nucleotides long. RefSeq lists it as uncharacterized. NCBI's taxonomy places the organism in Eukaryota, Metazoa, Chordata, Mammalia, Rodentia, Caviidae. The transcript has 3 exons. The record is from RefSeq and is a predicted model, not a curated record.
CUCUACGGUUCCAGUCACACUCCUUGGCCCACAUUCACAGAAUUCUGUGAUUUGCUCCUGGUUUUCAGAGAGCACCAGCUAACACAAUUCUGGGAUAGGGCUUCUAACACCCACUCUGCUAUAUCUUGGGUCAUCUUAUUUUUAUUCAGGCCUCGUUCCAGAUACAAGAUUGCUGGCUGCAUCUACUUAGCUGAAACCAAAUUAUGCACUGUAAAAAAAAUGGUGGCUUUUUAUUUCAGUGUAUUAGGCACGACUUUCCAUCCUCACCACCCCCCUGUUUUCACUGGGUGACACAAGCCCCUCUUCAUGAGAGCUUUGGUUUUCUCUGACCUUCUUUUCAGGACGGCAAGUUCUAUUUUGUGUUAAAACCAUUUCUCAUAUAUAAAAGUACAUUAGUAUUAGCGUAGCCGAGCCCCAUCUGGUCCCUUCCCUUCUGCUGGGAAUGAUAAACGGGCAAAGGGCAGGACGGGGAGGAGCAGCCACGUGGUCUCCAUAGCCAACCCAGGGCACAAGUGACACAGAGCUCUGGUGUCACCUGGGAAGUGACCUCCCUCCUCUCGAGCUCCUCAGCCACCUCGGGAAGGAAAAGCAGCUUUUAAUAUGGACACAACCUACAUCAUAUUUGCUGGUACACCUGCAGAGCAUCCCAGAUUUGUCAGCGGGAAAAGCCAUGCAAGACAACAGAAUUUUGGAAAUCCCACAUACUGAUGAUUUUUCUUGGCCAUGUGGGUGGAUCAGCAGGAGGCCAAGUGAGGACUCGCCUUCCCUUUUCCUGGGUUGGUGAUCUUCCCAGCUGCAUUCCUGUGACUCCGAGACCACCAUGGCUGGGCACCUUGAAGACCCCUCUUCCUUUCCUACCCAACUGCUAUCCCUCCAGCUGCAUAGGCCCUUGCUGCCUGCAUUGUAAUUACUUUCCACUGACACUUACGCUUGCCUUGGAUAUUCCAGUAUUUUGGAGCAGAGCAGGAGGAAAGUAAACUCUUCAUGUUACCAUUCAUUGCUAGAAUUGAAGAAGGGCUUUACAAUGCUGGAAGACAGUAUCUAUGUCCUCCUGCAACAUACAAGAAAAAUCCCACAUGGACAUGCAGGGAAGAGGAAAAGAGGCAGCUGUGGCUCUUGAUGCUUACUUUGUAUUUCCUGUAUCUCAUCAACGUCCCUUACGAGGUGGAACACUUACAAGCAAGGUAAAGGCUAGCAGGACUCUAGUCUUCAUGAAUGUAUCUGCUGUCUAAAAAUUACUUCCUGGUAGUUUAUGAGGAUGAUCUUAGCUUGUCUCCUGAGUGAGACCAACAGAGCUGUGACCAGGGCUUCGGCUAAAGACACUGUGGGGUGCAGUCACUGUUUACAGCCAACACUUUGGAAAGAGCUAUUAGGAGAGUACACAGGGUUGCUUUUAUCUGGAGGGGACCCAAGCCAAUCAAAAUAGCCUUUGAGCAGGAGGAACCAAAGAGCUCCACCUAGUGAUCCCCACCCGUACUGCAGGAGAAGGAGAAAAGAUUGUUGGAAAUAAAGCUAAAAGUGUAGGGGGUGUCAGACAUGUGCCAAACACGAUCAGAGUUGUCUGAUAAGUAAAUGUCUCCUUUUGAAAUCUCUUAUAUUCAUAAAACAGAAAUAGCACCUAAGCAAUCCUUUAUUAGGAGUCUCAGCCCUUAUUUCAUGACACAUUGUAUAUUGCUUACUGUGUUUUAUAGGUUGUGUUGUCUUUGUGGUCAUAGACUGUAUUAUUUGAAAUGCUCCAGUUUGUAAUACUUUAUAGUUUUUUAAUUUAAAGCAAAAAAAAAAUAAAAAUGAUGAUACAGAAUUUCAAAACCAAAUAAUAGGAGAUUAAAUUGUUAAUCUCCUAUAUAUUAAUAUAUUGCGUUAUCUUCAAAGUAGUUGCUCAGAUUACAAGAUACUAUAGGUGUGAAAAAAUUAUGACAGUGAAAACACAAACCAUUCUCUCUGAUGAACUAAUAGAGAUUAGUAUAGUAUACUGGUAGUAUAAUUAUUUAAUAUAUAUGUGUGUAUAUUAUGAUCUUUUCCAUUCUUUCUUUUCUCCUUUCCCCUGUCCCAAUUGUUCUUUCCUAUAGUUUUUUUUUCUUACUAGAAUUUAGGGAAGAAUUUGUAUGCAGCAAUGCUGUUGGGUUCAGAGUAAAUACAAGAAAAAAUUAAUAAAAACUGUUUUGGA